UGUGUAGGCGGAAAUGUAAGCGUUGUGUGAAAGCCCCCGGCUUAACCGGGGAACUGCACAACGAACUGCGUUUCUUGAGGCAAGUAGGGGUACAUGGAACUCUUGGUGGAGCGGUGGAAUGCGUAGAUAUCAAGAGGAACGCCAGUGGAGAAAUCGGUGUACUGGGCUUGUACUGACGCUGAGACACGAAAGCGUGGGGAGCGAACAGGAUUAGAUACCCUGGUAGUCC
RNAcentral lists this ribosomal RNA (229 nucleotides) under uncultured bacterium. RNAcentral describes it as "partial 16S ribosomal RNA". It matches the Rfam family "Bacterial small subunit ribosomal RNA", at positions 568 to 796 of the family's 1533-position model. The record is from RNAcentral.